GAUGAACGCUGGCGGCGUGCCUAAUACAUGCAAGUCGAGCGAAGCGGGGACGGGUUAGUAACACGUUGAUAACCUCCUAUAAGACUGGGAUAACUUCGGGAAACCGGAGCUAAACCGGUUACUUAUAGAUGGCUCCGCGCUGCAUUAGCUAGUUGGUAAGGUAACGGCUUACCAAGGCAACGAUGCAUAGCCGACCUGAGAGGGUGAUGGGCCACACGGGAACGGAGACAAGGUCCAGACUCCAACGGGAGGCAGCAGUAGGGAAUCUUCCGCAAUGGGCGAAAGCCUGACGGAGCAACGCCGCGUGAGUGAGGAAGGUCGUCGGAUAGUAAAACUCUGUUAUGAGGGAAGCGGUACCUAAUCAGAAAGCCACGGCUAACUACGUGCCAGCAGCCGCGGUAAUAC
This 405-nucleotide ribosomal RNA is filed under the name uncultured bacterium. RNAcentral describes it as "partial 16S ribosomal RNA". It matches the Rfam family "Bacterial small subunit ribosomal RNA", at positions 28 to 526 of the family's 1533-position model. The record is from RNAcentral.